This 230-nucleotide ribosomal RNA is filed under the name uncultured bacterium. RNAcentral describes it as "partial 16S ribosomal RNA". It matches the Rfam family "Bacterial small subunit ribosomal RNA", at positions 524 to 753 of the family's 1533-position model. The record is from RNAcentral.
UACGUAGGGGGCAAGCGUUGUCCGGAUUUAUUGGGCGUAAAGAGCGUGUAGGCGGUUUGGUAGGUCCGCUGUGAAAACUCGAGGCUCAACCUCGAGACGCCGGUGGAAACCAUCAGGCUAGAGUCCGGAAGAGGAGAGUGGAAUUCCUGGUGUAGCGGUGAAAUGCGCAGAUAUCAGGAAGAACACCCGUGGCUAAGGCGGCUCUCUAGUACGGUACUGACGCUGAGACG